RNAcentral lists this transfer RNA (71 nucleotides) under Alistipes sp. Its description in RNAcentral is "tRNA-Cys". It matches the Rfam family "tRNA". From Rfam's summary of the family: Transfer RNA (tRNA) molecules are approximately 80 nucleotides in length. Their secondary structure includes four short double-helical elements and three loops (D, anti-codon, and T loops). Lineage: Bacteria; Pseudomonadati; Bacteroidota; Bacteroidia; Bacteroidales; Rikenellaceae. The record is from RNAcentral.
GGUGCGAUGGCCGAGUGGCUAGGCAGAGGUCUGCAAAACCUCGUACAGCGGUUCGAAUCCGCUUCGCACCU